AGUGAACGCUAGCGGUGCGCCUAACACAUGCAAGUCGAGCGACUCUUCGAGAGGAGCGGCGAACGGCUGCGUAACACGUUGGUACCUACCCCAUACUCAGGAAUAACAUGCCGAAAGGUGUGCUAAUGCCGGAUAGUCCCGCAAGGGUAAAGCUUUCGCGGUAUGGGAGGGGCCUGCGGCCUAUCAGCUUGUUGGUAAGGUAAAGGCUUACCAAGGCUAUGACGGGUAGCUGAUCUGAGAGGAUGAUCAGCCAGAAUGGGACUGAGACACGGCCCAUACUCCUACGGGAGGCAGCAGUGAGGAAUCUUCCGCAAUGGGGGCAACCCUGACGGAGCGACACCGCGUGAAGGAUGACGAUCUUUUCGAUUGUAAACUUCUGUUCUGAGGGACGAAAUUUUUGACGGUACCUCAGGAGAAAGCACCGGCUAAAUCCG
RNAcentral lists this ribosomal RNA (434 nucleotides) under uncultured bacterium. Its description in RNAcentral is "bacterial SSU rRNA". It matches the Rfam family "Bacterial small subunit ribosomal RNA", at positions 29 to 505 of the family's 1533-position model. The record is from RNAcentral.